GUGGUUUAAUUCGAAGCAACGCGAAGAACCUUACCAGGCCUUGACAUGCAGAGAACUUUCCAGAGAUGGAUUGGUGCCUUCGGGAACUCUGACACAGGUGCUGCAUGGCUGUCGUCAGCUCGUGUCGUGAGAUGUUGGGUUAAGUCCCGUAACGAGCGCAACCCUUGUCCUUAGUUACCAGCACGUUAUGGUGGGCACUCUAAGGAGACUGCCGGUGACAAACCGGAGGAAGGUGGGGAUGACGUCAAGUCAUCAUGGCCUUUAUGACCAGGGCUACACACGUACUACAAUGGCCGAUACAAAGGGCAGCGACACUGCGAGGUGAAGCCAAUCCCGUAAAAUCGGUCUCAGUCCGGAUUGGAGUCUGCAACUCGACUCCAUGAAGUUGGAAUCGCUAGUAAUCGUGGAUCAGCAUACCACGGUGAAUACGUUCCCAGGCCUU
This 442-nucleotide ribosomal RNA is filed under the name uncultured Bacillus sp. RNAcentral describes it as "bacterial SSU rRNA". It matches the Rfam family "Bacterial small subunit ribosomal RNA", at positions 941 to 1382 of the family's 1533-position model. Lineage: Bacteria; Bacillati; Bacillota; Bacilli; Caryophanales; Bacillaceae. The record is from RNAcentral.